CCAAACUUGGUGGUGUAAAAUACCACCAAUCAUUUUAUUAUUAACUCCCACAAGUUUGGGAAGUUGCCUGAGCUCACUUAGGCGGUAUUCACUCAGAGUGUCUCACACACUUGCUGUCAGACAAUGGUUGACACUCAAAUAUUCUGAAUGCUUGAUGCUCACGUGGCUGGCAUGUGGGCUGGGACCACUCAAACAGCUGGAAUUUGGAACUUCUAGGGACCCUAGGAAUGCUUCUUUGUCUCUGUGUGGUCUCUUCAGCAUAGCAACAGCAGCGUAGCUGAACAUCUUACGGAUGGCCCAGGGCUCCAAAGGCUCGUUUCCUAAGUGAGAGAGAGCCUGGCUGAAGCUGUAUUACCAUUCAUUCUCCAGCCUCCGAAGUCUCAAAGCAUCACUUCCACCAUACUCUAACUGUCAAGACAAACACAAAGGCCCAGAAACUGCCAGACUGUCUUCUGAAGUGGCUAUAAUAUUUACACUCCCAUCAGCAGUGUAGAAGGGGUCUCACUAUGUUGUCUGGAGUGCUGUGGUGGAGUGGAGUGGCUAUUCACAGAGCCUGUUCUGCUGGGACACAGAAUCACUUGCUCCAUCUCAUACAUUGAUGAUGAUUAAUUUGUAUGUGUACCUUCCAAAAAAGAUGGUUGUGUUUGAAUGGAGGCCUUCUGGACAGGAAAAUAUGGAGAGUGCGUGCUUUGGAUUCAAGACUGGGAAUGAGGGGACCAGAAACCUAUUCUGUGGCUGUUUCUUGUUAGGACUUUCCUAAGCCUCUGGAAAAGUGCAAAGUACAAUUAACAUUUGAGUCUGUCUGAGUCAUGAAGAAAUGGAGAUUACUGAAAAUAAUUCAUUUUGGUAUCUUCUUACAUCCUGAGAGACUAAUCUUUCCAAGUUCAUCUGAGGCUCCUCUUCUCCAUGACAACCUCAUCCAGGGAUUUCUUCCUGUCCUGGUGUUUUAUGACAUGUGGAAGGGGACUGUAGCAGGUGAUCUCCAAAGUCUCUGGAGACUUACUAAUGUGCAUCCUCAUCUCGCUUGUAAGGAUAAUAGCCUUCCUCCAAACCUCACACACUUUUGGAGGAGAUCACUUUUUUUAAAGUGCAUGGAAAUGUUUUGAAACAGUGAAAUCUAUAAUGAUAGGUUUCAUAAUUCUAACAUCCACACCAUAUGAAUCACAUCCUUCCUGAGAUAAUGAGCACACAAUUGCCUGGAUACCUGAAGGAAUGGAGACAGCGGCAGAAAACACUGCAGAGAGGUGGAAACAUCCGUUAAUAUUUUAAAAUCCCAUUACUGCUACCAACAAUAAUAAUGGAUGCAUAGAAAUAGAUCUGGAUUAGCUGAGCUUGAAACAGUCCAUCUCACACACACACAAAAGAAUUUCAGAUACAGUGAACCCACAUGUUGAAGCUUUCUAGUAUAAUAAAAAUUUCAACUGUUCUGUUGAAUCAUCUGCCUGAUUGGAGGCUACAGAAAAGAUGUCAUCUUAG
RNAcentral lists this long non-coding RNA (1476 nucleotides) under Homo sapiens (human). RNAcentral's name for it is "non-protein coding LINC00635:5". Lineage: Eukaryota; Metazoa; Chordata; Mammalia; Primates; Hominidae. The record is from RNAcentral.